GCCCCGCCGCGGACUGCAGUGCCCCGCAGACCUGAGCAGUCGCUCGUGCUGAGCGCCGGGAGGGCGCCAGCCUGGGGCCUAGGCCUGAGCCGCCAUGGCGCUGCCCCCAGGCCCAGCCGCCCUCCCGCACACACUGCUGCUCCUGCCAGCCCUUCUGAGCUCAGGUUGGGGGGAAUUGGCACCAGAAAUUGAUGGUCAGACCUGGGCCGAGCUGGCACUUCGGGAGAACGAGCGGCACGCCUUCACCUGCCGGGUGGCAGGGGGGCCUGGAACCCCCCGAUUGGCCUGGUACCUGGAUGGACAGCUGCAGGAGGCCAGCACCUCGAGGCUGCUGAGUGUGGGCGGGGAGGCCUUCUCUGGAGGCACCAGCACCUUCACUGUUACUGCCCAGAGGGCCCAGCAUGAGCUUAACUGCUCCUUGCAGGACCCCGGCAGUGGCCGGUCAGCUAAUGCCUCCGUCAUCCUCAAUGUGCAAUUUAAACCAGAGAUUGCCCAGGUCGGGGCCAAGUACCGGGAAGCUCAGGGGCCAGGCCUCCUGGUUGUCCUUUUUGCCCUGGUGCGUGCCAACCCACCUGCCAAUGUGACCUGGAUCGACCAGGAUGGGCCGGUGACUGUCAACGCCUCUGACUUCCUGGUGCUGGAUGCCCAGAACUACCCUUGGCUCAGCAACCACACCGUGCAGCUGCAGCUCAGCAGCCUGGCACACAACCUCUCCGUGGUGGCCACCAACGACGUGGGUGUCACCAGCGCCUCGCUUCCGGCCCCGGGUGAGCACUGCCAGCGACUGGCCCAGCACGGCCUCAGGGCUUCUGGCCACCCGAGUGGAAGUGCCGCUGCUGGGCAUCGUUGUGGCUGGAGGGCUUGCCCUGGGCACCCUGGUGGGGUUCAGCACCUUGGUGGCCUGCCUGGUCUGCAGGAAAGAGAAGAAGACCAAAGUGACUCCAACAACCUGAAACUCAACAACGUGCGCCUGCCACGGGAGAACAUGUCCCUCCCGUCCAACCUGCAGCUCAACGACCUCACUCCAGAUUCCAGAGCAGGGAAGCCAGCAGACCGGCAGAUGGCUCCGAAUAACAGCCGGCCAGAGCUGCUGGACCCAGAGCCCGGUGGCCUCCUCACCAGCCGAGAGCAAGUCACAUGGUCCAACCCACAAUCAAAAGAUAAGGAAGCAUCCUGGGCUUACCAUGACACCAUGACAGGAGGGGCUGCAUACUAUGUAGGGCCACAGAGCAAGGAGUCAGCAGGGAAUAAGGACAGGCGUUGAGGCGGAGAGAAGAGCUCCUGGGAUGGUCACUGGGGGGCUGCGCUGGAUAUAAAGGAGCGGCAAGAAGAGCAGGACAACCUGGAAGAUAGAGCAUUUUAUUUGCCAAAUCUUUGCCAAUAACGUUAAGAAUGAAAGAAAAAAAGAAUUCCGUCGCUGUCUCAAAAAGAACAUCUUUGAAGCUUUCCUCCCAACCUGAGCACCCCAGAAUCCCAGACGUUCCAGUCCUUCUAUUCUUCUAACUCAAGUCCCCACAGUGGUGUCGGUGCAUAAUUCCCACGGGAGGAAAACCGGAGAUAGGCAGAAGCCAUUUAAGGAACACAUGCAGUACUUUCUGGCACAGAGGGCAGCAGGACGUCCGCGUCCGAGUCAGGCUGUGGUGCGGGCGCGGUCGCCACAUGGCUGAUGACUGUGUCGCCUCAGCCAGGGCAGAGGCGGCAGCUCAGCCUGGGAGCAGAGAGACCCUGGGGGUGUCUCAGCUGAAGGUUAAUGUCUCUGCAUCUCCAGCUUGGGAAGCGGAGUUGGAUGGAGGGGUGAAUGCUUUCUUGCCUUCAGCUAGAGCUUUAAAAUGCUGUGAGGAAAGAGGAGAGGGUACAUGGGGUAUCUGGUAGGCUAGCUGCUGCAUCUGAGCAAGAACGAACCUCUUUACAGCCCGUUAAGCUCCAAUUUUUCCCCAGUUCUACUUUCAGAACAAUUCCUUGGUGUUGUCUUUGAAAAACAGCUAGCAAUCUGCCCCACCCCCUUCAAAGAUGAACCCCUUUUUUCCUUCUGCCCUGCGUCCAUUCCUUAAGCCCUGUGGUGAGUGUCCCUGGCGUGUCCCCCAGGCCAAAGGCCUACAGCUCUUCUGCUUCCCUCCCUGUGAAAGCCCCACCCUUCCUGCUUGCUGUUCUUUGAGUAACAGGGAAGGGUGAUGGUAAGCCUUGGAGAAACACCCUUCCUUGUCCAAGGGCGAAUCCCAGCUGACUUGGAGGAGUAGAGACUGGAGCGUUCCUCACUACGGCAGAAGACACUUCUUUAGUCUUACCUGUGAGUUCUUGAAUUCCGAGUAGAGGGAGAAGAGCAGGUGCAGGGACUGAAUCCGACUCUUGUAGAUAGGGAUGUCUAGGAUGGCUGAAAUCAAGAGCUUCCAUGAGCAGAACCAAACACAACUGGGAAUUAUGGGGCAUUUACGUUUAGGAUGGCCAUGGCCCUCCCAGAUGGGAUGUGUCGCUAUGACUCUGAGGGCCGACCUGGUGGGGAGUCACAUAAGCCCAAAUACCACCUUCAGUGCUGCCAAACAGCAAACUGGCUGUAACUCAAGAUGCUAUUUUCCCAGAGCAAAGGAGCCUUUGCAAAACCCCACAGUGUAUUCGUCCAGAGACGGGGAAAAGGAAGGGAUGGAAGAGCUUACCACAGAUCAUGUCAAUGUACUCCGCCAGGCUGCAGUCAAUCUCUGCCGUGGGCAGGCUCACCUAGGACGAGCAUGGGACAGACCAGAGUCAAAAGGCUGAGGUUUCACCGGGGCCAGCACCUCUCUCUCUUUUUAAAAGAUAUUUAUUUGUUUGUUUGUUUGUCAGAGAGAGAGAGAAAGAGAGAGCACAA
Leptonychotes weddellii (Weddell seal) is the source of this 2842-nucleotide non-coding RNA. Lineage: Eukaryota; Metazoa; Chordata; Mammalia; Carnivora; Phocidae. The record is from RefSeq and is a predicted model, not a curated record.